Molecule: long non-coding RNA, 3547 nt
Organism: Mesocricetus auratus (golden hamster)
Lineage: Eukaryota; Metazoa; Chordata; Mammalia; Rodentia; Cricetidae
Exons: 3
Source: RefSeq, a predicted model, not a curated record
AAUGGCGGCAUUGUUUUCCUCCUACAGAGGUGUGUCUCUAGGAGUCUUGCAGAGAAAUACCUGACUGGUGAACACAAACAUGGAGAGCAGAGCCAGUUAGCAGGAGAGGGUGACAACAUAAUGAGACCAGGAACCACUUUGACAUCAACAGGCCGUCUUCAGAGACUGUCACUUUGGUAGGAGUCACACCCCUGUAAUCUGUCACUUGGAAGAGGGAUCUGAUGCAGGUGACUCCUGUGAAGGGAUCAUUCGUCCCAAGAGGCUGAGACCCCAAGUUGAGAACUGCUGCUUUGUAGUCCAGAGAUCAUCUCACUUUUCCUCAGUUCUGUGUGAUAACACAAAACUCAGGGUGCUAUCUGACCCUGAAUCUGUGACAGCAUCUUCUUACUCUGCAGUUAGUUUCAUGUCACGUUGUAGCAUGAGACCCUUUCCUAAGUAGAGACUGAAUCAAAGUAUUUUAAAAGUUUGGUAAAGAUGGAAAAGUCAGACAUGGCACCUUGGAUUGUUAAUGGGAAUUGGUACAGAUGUCAACGUGUGAGCAUCAGGGAAGCUUCUGGUCAAGAGGCAGCAGAGAGCAAAACCCUCAGCAAGAACCAGAGCCCCUGAGGUUUCUUAAGAGGUCCGCACUCCGGUAGGAAUCCCUGGGAGCCAGACACCCCAGUAACAAUCAUUGUGUAACUGUAAAUGCUUAUACUCAGGGGCUCUCCGUGCGCAGAGUCGAGAAUAUGAUGCCAGGAGUCAUCAAAGAUGACCAGAUCCCUCCCAAGCAGCACAUAAACAAAGUGAAGUGGAAAAUGAAACAGAAAACGUGCGUGAUAACCCUUCGCAGAAGACCAACUCAUGAAAGGGCGUUUAGUCCAAAUGGGAGAACCUGUGCCAAAAUCUUAAGGGAGGCAGGCUGAGCCAAAUUAGAACAGAGUCAAACAUUUGUCAUACCUUUGUAAUUCACACAGCAGCCUUCUCAGCUCGAUCACAAGCUGUCCAGAUGUUAGCCAUUCGACUCUUUAUAGCCAUGGUCUGUUUUUUCUUAAAAGACCCACUUCCUCCUCAGAGUUCCCAGACACAUGGCGUUUCUCUGGUGUUGAAACCCAGACUGAGUAAAGAAGAACGAAUCUUCUUCUCAAUUUGCAGGAAAAUCUCUCUCUUUCAGGAGAAACAUUUUGAGACCUCAGAUUCUUUGAUUAAAUUUACACUGUAGCAAGGAAAUUUAGCCAUGGAAUUGGCUAAAUAAUAAAUGUGAAGUCAGGCAGGCCUAGACUGGAGUUUUUGACAAAAUGCUUGUGGGUCCCUUGAGCAAGCCAAGUAAGUGACUUAAUUGCUCUGUAGCAAUUCAGUGGAGCUAUUCCUCAGUCUCUCCCAUGGCAAAAUGCAGAUAAUAAUACUGACCUCAAAGUACUAAAAGGAUCAUGUACAUCAAACACUGACCAUACUUCGCAGUACAUACAAUAUGUGUCAGUUGUUUUGUUUAAAAUCUGCUUUUUUUCUCCUUUGAGUUCCACAGACAAAAGCUCCCAAGACAGGGAUAGGUAACUGUAGAGUCUUUUUAUAUCAAUCCAUUGAUGAGUCUGCUGUUUAUUAAAUACUGGCUUCAAAACAGAAUGCAGCUGCCCUUUAGAUCUGAAGAUGACAUCUGAAUAUGCCAGUGCCUGAACUGACAGCUGAGUGUGGUCGAAUGGCCAGGUUAAUACCAUCUCAUGCCAGAAGUCAGUUUCUCAACUCAGUCCAUGACUAACCUCAUCCACUCUCCACUAAGAGAAUGCUUGUCCAAAACUGAGGAAAAAUCUGGAACAUAUAAACUCUCAAACGGACGGUGGAGAGAGAACCUGGUGGUUACGUUAAAUUCUUCAUGCAGAGGACCUAAGUUCAGUUGUUAGAACCCAGGAAGAGAGGCUCCCAAAUGCCUACAAUCCCAACUUCAGUAGGGUCCAAGGCCUCUGUUCUUCACAGCACCAGCAUUCACAGGAAACAAGCACAUUUAUGUAAUUAAAAACAAACAAGCAAACAAAUCGAAAGGAGACACCUCCACAUCAUCCCUAUAGACCAGAAGCAUGAGUGGUUAGUGGGGUUCAAGCAAAAAGUGUGCCAACUGUGUCCCAGAUCACAGUUCAAGCAAAAUAGGUCACUAUGCAGUAAGUUUGCUUUCAUUUAAACACAAAAAUACAAGUAAAUCACUCAUUUCUUUUAUCAAAACAAAAGUAAGCAGAACAAAGAAAAAUAGUAAUAGUGCUCCCUCUAAAUGUAAGUAAGGUAGCAGUAUGAUUUAGAGGAAUCUGGAGAGGCCCUCUCCACAGUAAGUAGAAUCUUGGCCUCUGCUGACGUGGAAUGUCAACACGUUUGAUGGACAGCAUAAAAUUUGACAGCUCUCAACAUGAUCUUAUCCAGUGACAGGUGUGGCAUAACAACAGCUGUGACCGUUUUAGGGAAUGGAAAAGUAAUUAGUGGCUGACACCCAAUGCUGGAAAACAUUUGUGUCGAUUGCAAAAAUACAACAAAAUGCAAUAGCAUCUCUUUCUCACGUUUUCAUGUAUAUGGGUAAAAAAACAUCUGAGGUAGCUCCUGUAUCCGGCUACUUAAUUUUUAUUUUCUAAAAUAAUGCUGACACCUGGAUGCUGCCCCAAAGGUGUGUCUUGUGAAGCCCAGAAGAUACCUUAUAACAUUCCCUAGGGGACUGCUCCCUGAACUGUAGUGCUAUUGUGUGGCACUGUUAGCUCUUAGGGCUUGAUUCUUUAUCUGACCUUUAAAACAAUUACUUAUUCUCAACGUAGGGGUGUGUGUGUGUGUGUGUGUGUGUGUGUGUGUGUGUGUGUGCACGUACACGAGUGCACGCACGUGCGCCUGUGUGGGAGCUUGUGCACAAGAAUGAAGGCUCCUGAGAAGGGUGUCAGAUCCUCUGGAGCUGGAGUACAGACUAUUGUGAGCCACCUGGUUUGGGUGCUGGGAACUGAACUUGAAUCCUCCACAAGGACAGCUUGUGCUUUUAGCCUAUUCAGUCCCAGAUCUGACCUUUAUGCAAGAUUAGACCAGAGUAUUUGUGACUGACCAUUUGUGUGCACUGUUAAAAAUAGAUGACAAAUGCCAAACCAGACAACAAUUAUUGCUCCCAGAGAACUGCUGUAAAUAGCUCAAGUAAAUCAAACUUGUCUAAUAAGUAGUUAUCAGGUUUUUGCCCCAUAAAAGGUACUGUUUUAUAUGUGUGCAAUAGAGAAUAACUACAAGAGAAAAAUAUAUCUGUUCAUCUGAAGGUGACAUGUUAGGAGUGGGAAGCUGCAAAAAUACGUAGAAUGUUAGAAAGUAAUAAUCACAGGAAAAGGAAUGGAGAUGGUGAUUGCAAGAAUGUGUGUAUAUACAUGAGUGCAUGUGUCAGUUUUACAUAGGGUCAUAGGGGAUGCCUUUCUGCAAUUGCAUUUGAUCAAAGACUUGAAGGAGUUAGAGAAGCAGCAUUGCUGAUAUCUGGUAUGGGGAACUGCUAGGAAGAGAAAAUGCUAGGAAGAGAUGUUGGUAUGAGUUUCCUAUAGCUGCUGUCAAGUGACAAUAAACUCGUUGAAAC